UAGUAGUCAUAUGCUUGUCUCAAAGAUUAAGCCAUGCAUGUCUAAGUCCAAGCUGUGUUUACACGGCGAGACCGCGGACGGCUCAUUAAAUCAGUCGUUGUCCAAAUGGGCCAGUACCAAUUACUUGGAUAACUGUGGUAAUUCCAGAGCUAAUACAUGCAACUUAUACUCCGACGCGCGCUCUUCGGAGCCGCUGACGGGUGCUUUUAUUAGACCAAACUGCUGGGGCGUUUCCUUCGGGAUUCGCCUGAUUCGCUGUGUGGUGACUCUGGAUAACCUUUCUGACAAGCGCACGUACCUCCAUGCGGGGACGGCGCUGCCACUUUCGAGUGUCUGCCUUAUCAGCUGUCAACCGCUCGCUACACGCGACCGAUGGCUUUGACGGGUAACGGGGAAUCAGGGUUCGAUUCCGGAGAGGCAGCUCUGAGAGACGGCUACCACGUCCAAGGACGGCAGCAGGCACGCAAAUUACCCAAUCCCAGCACACCUGGGGGAGGUAGUGACGAAACAUAACGAAGCGUGCGCCCUUUUCGGGUCUCGCUAUCGGAAUGAGCACUUUUCUAAACACCCUGUUGAGAACCUACUGAAGGGCAAGUCUGGUGCCAGCAGCCGCGGUAAUUCCAGCUUCAGUAGCAUAUAUUAAAGUUGCUGCGGUUGAAAGGCUCGUAGUUGAAUGUCUGUUCCAAGCAGCGACUGGAGGACGUUGGAGUUGUUGUUGCUGCCUCCGCGGUACGCACACACACACUCCCGUCCGUUAAAUCCACCGCUCUUGUGUACAAAAAAGGCGUCUCCCGACACGCAAGUGUCCUGACGCCAGUGUCACCCUGAGUAAAUCAGAGUGCUCAAAGCAGUCGUAAAGGGCUUGUCCCAGUUAACGUACGGCGCGGGUCGCUGCUCCUAGCGGGUGGCGUGCUCGUGUCCAUAGGACAGACUUGGUUUUGCAUGGUAUGUCGGAAUACGACGCCGGGCGCUGGUUAACGAGUCGUAGCAGUGGUUGAGCCAGCCCCGGCGUAAUGAUUAAAAGGGCUUGUCGAGGGCAUUGGUAUUGCGGAGCGAGAGGUGAAAUUCUAUGACCUCCGCAAGACCUCCUGAAGCGAAAGCGUCUGCCAAGGAUGUUUUCAUUAAUCAUGAACGAAAGUUAGAGGAUCGAAGGCGAUCAGAUACCGCCCUAGUUCUAACCCUAAACGAUGCCAACCAUAAUCCGCUGAGCACCCUUCUUGACGGGCUCGGCGGGCAGCUCCUACCUUACGGAAACCAGAGUCUCUGGGUUCCGGGGGGAGUCUGGUUGCAAAGCUGAAACUUAAAGGAAUUGACGGAAAGGCACCACCAGGCGUGGAGGCUGCGGCUUAAAUUUGACUCAACMACGGGCAAUCUCACCAGGCCAGGACUCUAGCAUGAUUGACAGAUUGAGAGCUCUUUCUCGAUUCAGUKGAUGGKGGKGMAUGGCCGUUCUUAGUUGGUGGAGUGACUCUGUCUGGUUAAUUCCGAUAACGAACGAGACUCUCCCCUGCUAACUAGUCGGUUGGAUCUUGAAAUGCGAGUCCGCAGUAGCAGGUCUUCUCUCCGCGGGAUGUGCGGCGGUGGUCAGCUUGGCUCUGGGUGCGUGUGUCUGUUGCCGUAAGGUGAUGGUGCCGUGCUCGGGUCUGGCGCUGUCGUGUCUUGCUGCCUGUGUUGGGGGUUUUCUUGCCUGCACUCCAAGUCCGCCGGCCUUCAUGGUCUUAAAGAUUUCUUCUUAGAGGGAUAAACGGCUCUGAAGCCGUCAGAGACUGAGAGCAAUAACAGGUCUGUGAUGCCCUUAGAUGCUCUGGGCCGCACGCGCGCUACAAUGCUGGGCACAGCAGGUGUUUCUUCCUGCUCCGAGAGGAGCAGGUAACCCUCUGAAAGCCCUUUGUCGAUCCCUCUCUUCCCGCAUUCUCGUUGGCCUCGUGUCUCGGUUUGUGGGAGAGAGCAGCGUGCUUGGGCCUGGGGCUUGCAAUUAUUCCCCACAAACGAGGAAUGCCUAGUAGCGGCGGGUCACUGAGCCCGCCGUGACUGAGUCCCUGCCCUUUGUACACACCGCCCGUCGCUACUACCGAUUGGGUGUACCAGUGAGAGCCUUGGAKCUGGCGGAUCCAGCCCYGUCAAAGGUGGUAUCACAGAGUGAAAGAGGUCCGAACUGGUGCAGG
Molecule: ribosomal RNA, 2165 nt
Filed under: Phtisica marina
Lineage: Eukaryota; Metazoa; Arthropoda; Malacostraca; Amphipoda; Caprellidae
Description: bacterial SSU rRNA
Rfam family: Eukaryotic small subunit ribosomal RNA
Source: RNAcentral